AACGAACGCUGGCGGCAGGCUUAACACAUGCAAGUCGAACGCACCGCAAGGUGAGUGGCAGACGGGUGAGUAACGCGUGGGAACGUGCCCUUCAGUUCGGAAUAACCCAGGGAAACUUGGGCUAAUACCGGAUACGUGCGAGAGCAGAAAGAUUUAUCGCUGAAGGAUCGGCCCGCGUCUGAUUAGCUAGUUGGUGAGGUAAUGGCUCACCAAGGCGACGAUCAGUAGCNGGUCUGAGAGGAUGAUCAGCCACAUUGGGACUGAGACACGGCCCAAACUCCUACGGGAGGCAGCAGUGGGGAAUAUUGGACAAUGGGCGCAAGCCUGAUCCAGCCAUGCCGCGUGAGUGAUGAAGGCCUUAGGGUUGUAAAGCUCUUUCGUCCGGGGACGAUAAUGACGGUACCGGAAGAAGAAGCCCCGGCUAACUUCGUGCCAGCCGCCGCAGUAAC
This 449-nucleotide ribosomal RNA is filed under the name uncultured bacterium. Its description in RNAcentral is "bacterial SSU rRNA". It matches the Rfam family "Bacterial small subunit ribosomal RNA", at positions 29 to 524 of the family's 1533-position model. The record is from RNAcentral.